RNAcentral lists this ribosomal RNA (147 nucleotides) under Olea europaea subsp. europaea. Its description in RNAcentral is "LSU_rRNA_bacteria". The record is from RNAcentral. Lineage: Eukaryota; Viridiplantae; Streptophyta; Magnoliopsida; Lamiales; Oleaceae.
CCUGGGAUUGGGUUUGGGCCUUUAUUGCAUAGUUUAGGUGGAGGGCGAAGAAGGCCUCCUUCCGAGGGGGCCCGAACCAUCAACGAGAUAUCACUUUGGAAGAGUUAGAAUUCUAACCUUGUGUCAGGACAUGGUAUUUACAUGAGG